AAAGUCUUAGUUUAUUUUUAGAAUUUAGAAUUGUAAAUUCUGGGGAUUAGAUU
Molecule: transfer RNA, 53 nt
Filed under: Setaria digitata
Lineage: Eukaryota; Metazoa; Nematoda; Chromadorea; Rhabditida; Setariidae
Description: tRNA-Tyr
Source: RNAcentral